Molecule: small RNA, 108 nt
Filed under: Seonamhaeicola sp. S2-3
Lineage: Bacteria; Pseudomonadati; Bacteroidota; Flavobacteriia; Flavobacteriales; Flavobacteriaceae
Also listed under: 1 other name
Description: 6S-Flavo RNA
Rfam family: 6S-Flavo RNA
Source: Rfam by way of RNAcentral
ACUCAACGUUAAUUCUUUAAAAAGGGUGAGUUUAAGUUGUAAAAGCAAGCCACCUUGUAGUGGAUCCUUGAUCAGCUUGUUAGCCCUAAACUUGUUUUUAAGGAGUUU